This 253-nucleotide ribosomal RNA is filed under the name uncultured bacterium. Its description in RNAcentral is "partial 16S ribosomal RNA". It matches the Rfam family "Bacterial small subunit ribosomal RNA", at positions 524 to 776 of the family's 1533-position model. The record is from RNAcentral.
UACGGGGGGGGCAAGCGUUGUUCGGAAUUACUGGGCGUAAAGGGUUUGUAGGUGGCUUGCUAGGUCAGACGUGAAAUCCCUCAGCUUAACUGGGGAACUGCGUCUGAUACUGGCGAGCUUGAGUGCAGGAGAGGAACGCGGAAUUCCAGGUGUAGCGGUGAAAUGCGUAGAUAUCUGGAGGAACACCGGUGGCGAAGGCGGCGUUCUGGACUGUAACUGACACUGAGAAACGAAAGCCAGGGUAGCAAACGGG